UACCUUAGCAACUGCCUAGCAACCGCCUAGCAACCACCCAGGUUACCAUAGCAACAUCCUAGCAACCACCCAGAACACCCUAGCAACCGCCUACCAACAUCUUAGCAACCUCCCCAAACACCUUAGCAACUGCCUAGCAACCACCUAGCAACCACCCAGAACACCCUAGCAACCGCAUAGCAACCACCCAGGUUACCAUAGCAACUGCCUAGCAACCACCCAAAAGACCCUAGCAACCGCCUAGCAACACCUUAGCAACCACCCCAAGUACCUUAGCAACUGCCUAGCAACCGCCUAGCAACCACCCAGAACACCCUAGCAACCGCCUAGCAACC
Long non-coding RNA from Cyprinus carpio carpio, 335 nucleotides. NCBI's taxonomy places the organism in Eukaryota, Metazoa, Chordata, Actinopteri, Cypriniformes, Cyprinidae. The record is from Ensembl.